UAGCGAAGCAGAGCUCUGCACACUUGAGUUCCGGUCCGGUUUCCCGCGGAGUUCCCCGCUUGGCGCUUGCUUGCGCAUCUUGGAGUACUGGUCGGGUUUCACCCCCAUCAGUUGGCGCCGUCUGUGAUUCAAAGAUACUCACGACAAAAGCUCCUCGACUUUUUCGAAAAAAGUGAUCGACUUUUUCCCAAGUCGCCAGCUAGGGAGUCUUGCGAGGAAAUCAGCCAGCAAGGGAUCAACUUUUCAGAAGAUCGACUUUUUCUUCCAAGGAAAAAA
RNAcentral lists this long non-coding RNA (276 nucleotides) under Zostera marina. Its description in RNAcentral is "long non-coding RNA (ZMAR_LNC001678)". The record is from RNAcentral. Lineage: Eukaryota; Viridiplantae; Streptophyta; Magnoliopsida; Alismatales; Zosteraceae.